RNAcentral lists this unclassified non-coding RNA (806 nucleotides) under Aspidothelium cinerascens. RNAcentral's name for it is "partial 18S small subunit ribosomal RNA". It matches the Rfam family "Eukaryotic small subunit ribosomal RNA", at positions 174 to 799 of the family's 1831-position model. The record is from RNAcentral. Lineage: Eukaryota; Fungi; Ascomycota; Lecanoromycetes; Thelenellaceae.
AAUCCCGACUUCGGAAGGGAUGUAUUUAUUAGAUAAAAAGCCAACGCCCUCCGGGGCUCCUUGGUGAUUCAUGAUAACUUAACGAAUCGCAUGGCCUUGCGCCGGCGAUGGUUCAUUCAAACUUCUGCCCUAUCAACUUUCGAUGUUAAGGUAUUGGCUUAACAUGGUGUCAACGGGUAACGGGGAAUUAGGGUUCGAUUCCGGAGAAGGAGCCUGAGAAACGGCUACUACAUCCAAGGAAGGCAGCAGGCGCGCAAAUUACCCAAUCCCAACACGGGGAGGUAGUGACAAUAAAUACUGAUACAGGGCUCUUAUGGGUCUUGUAAUUGGAAUGAGUACAAUUUAAAUCCCUUAGUUCGAGUCGUUAGGGGAUCGUUAGGUCAACUAUCAGUUGGCAAUGCACCUCUCUGCGAGGAGUUCCGGCCGACUGGCCGGGCAACUCGGCGCCUUCCCGAGGCUCAGAGACUACGUGGGUGCAGGCACCUCUAUGAUGAUUAGGUGUCAUUGGCAUAGUCCAACCUCCCCAAGCACAUUGGCGAGUACAGGUGUAACGAGGAACAAUUGGAGGGCAAGUCUGGUGCCAGCAGCCGCGGUAAUUCCAGCUCCAAUAGCGUAUAUUAAAGUUGUUGCGGUUAAAAAGCUCGUAGUUGAACUUUGGGUCUGGCUGGCCGGUCCGCCUCACCGCGUGCACUGGUUCGGCCGGGCCUUUCCUCCUGGGGAACGGCAUGCCCUUCACUGGGCGUGUCCGGGAACCAGGACUUUUACUUUGAAAAAAUUAGAGUGUUCAAAGCAGGCCUAUGCUCGAA